This is a small nucleolar RNA of Prolemur simus (greater bamboo lemur), 136 nucleotides long. Its record names the gene SNORA75. It matches the Rfam family "Small nucleolar RNA SNORA75". From Rfam's summary of the family: U23 belongs to the H/ACA class of snoRNAs. snoRNAs bind a number of proteins (including dyskerin, Gar1p and Nop10p in the case of the H/ACA class) to form snoRNP complexes. This class are thought to guide the sites of modification of uridines to pseudouridines by forming direct base pairing interactions with substrate RNAs. Targets include ribosomal and spliceosomal RNAs as well as the Trypanosoma spliced leader RNA (SL RNA) as possibly other, still unknown cellular RNAs. The record is from Ensembl. Lineage: Eukaryota; Metazoa; Chordata; Mammalia; Primates; Lemuridae.
GUCUUCUCAUUGAGCUCUGUUCUGUCUCUUGGUGGCAGUUUAUGGAUUCGCACGAGAAGAAGAAGAAUUCACAGAACUUAGCAUUAUUCUACCUUCUUUUUUACGGAGGUAUAUUUGGCUGUUUUGUGAGACAUUC